AAGCCGGAAUAGCUCAG
RNAcentral lists this transfer RNA (17 nucleotides) under Orthostichella pentasticha. Its description in RNAcentral is "partial tRNA-Phe". Lineage: Eukaryota; Viridiplantae; Streptophyta; Bryopsida; Hypnales; Orthostichellaceae. The record is from RNAcentral.